Molecule: long non-coding RNA, 626 nt
Organism: Polistes canadensis
Lineage: Eukaryota; Metazoa; Arthropoda; Insecta; Hymenoptera; Vespidae
Exons: 3
Source: RefSeq, a predicted model, not a curated record
AAAAAGAAAUACAUGCAGACAGACGGGCGAUUGUAAUAUAAUUUUCAAUAAACUGCCAAUCAUCGAGUACCUUUGGGGAAUAAAAAAAGAACAACCGAUUGAGUCAACUGCAGGGAAAAGAAAAUUGUUUAUCGCCCUACGUUCUAGAACUGUAGAGAAUUAAAAUUCAGAGAGCUUAACCUUCCUACGGGAUGAUAGACGGGGGAUGAAGAUCCUCGGCUAUAAAAAGGCAGUGUUUACGAACAGUAUCAGUCAUUUGCUUCGCGGUUUUCCAUCUUCCUUCAUUACGUAACUAUGAAACUGAUUUUCGUGCUCUGUAGCAUGUUUGCAAUCAUAUGGUUACUUCAUGGACAAGAUGCUUCUGUUUCCAGAAUAUCUUUACAACGUAUACAAAGACAUCGUCCAAUACACCUCGGAUACGCUAGAAAUGAAAAAACUGGAGACGGGGAUCAUUCAGAUUCGAGUAAACAACUGCAAAACGUAGAUUUUGAUUACGGUUAUAUGAAAUAUGGAAAACGCAAAGAGGAGGAAGACGAUACAUACAGAUUUAUCAAAUUUGACGAACAUACUGUGUGAGGAAAUAAAAACAAUUUGCGUUCGCAAGGAAGCGAGAGAAAAAAAAAAUA